RNAcentral lists this ribosomal RNA (497 nucleotides) under uncultured bacterium. Its description in RNAcentral is "partial 16S ribosomal RNA". It matches the Rfam family "Bacterial small subunit ribosomal RNA", at positions 28 to 507 of the family's 1533-position model. The record is from RNAcentral.
GACGAACGCUGGCGGCGUGCCUAAUACAUGCAAGUUGAGCGAUGAAGAUUGGUGCUUGCACCAAUUUGAAGAGCAGCGAACGGGUGAGUAACGCGUGGGGAAUCUGCCUUUGAGCGGGGGACAACAUUUGGAAACGAAUGCUAAUACCGCAUAACAACUUUAAACAUAAGUUUUAAGUUUGAAAGAUGCAAUUGCAUCACUCAAAGAUGAUCCCGCGUUGUAUUAGCUAGUUGGUGAGGUAAAGGCUCACCAAGGCGAUGAUGCAUAGCCGACCUGAGAGGGUGAUCGGCCACCUUGGGACUGAGACACGGCCCAAACUCCUACGGGAGGCAGCAGUAGGGAAUCUUCGGCAAUAGACGAAAGUCUGACCGAGCAACGCCGCGUGAGUGAAGAAGGUUUUCGGAUCGUAAAACUCUGUUGGUAGAGAAGAACGUUGGUGAGAGUGGAAAGCUCAUCAAGUGACGGUAACUACCCAGAAAGGGACGGCUAACUACGUG